AGCGAACGCUGGCGGCAGGCCUAACACAUGCAAGUCGAACGGAUCCUUCGGGAUUAGUGGCGGACGGGUGAGUAACACAUGGGAACGUGCCCUUUGGUUCGGAACAACUCAGGGAAACUUGAGCUAAUACCGGAUGUGCCCUUCGGGGGAAAGAUUUAUCGCCAUUGGAGCGGCCCGCGUCUGAUUAGCUAGUUGGUGAGGUAACGGCCCACCAAGGCGGCGAUCAGUAGCUGGUCUGAGAGGAUGAUCAGCCACACUGGGACUGAGACACGGCCCAGACUCCUACGGGAGGCAGCAGUGGGGAAUCUUGCGCAAUGGGCGAAAGCCUGACGCAGCCAUGCCGCGUGAAUGAUGAAGGUCUUAGGAUUGUAAAAUUCUUUCAGCGGGGACGAUAAUGACGGUACCCGCAGAAGAAGCUCCGGCUAAUUUCGUG
RNAcentral lists this ribosomal RNA (433 nucleotides) under uncultured bacterium. RNAcentral describes it as "partial 16S ribosomal RNA". It matches the Rfam family "Bacterial small subunit ribosomal RNA", at positions 29 to 507 of the family's 1533-position model. The record is from RNAcentral.